Molecule: RNA transcript, 6909 nt
Organism: Hyla sarda
Lineage: Eukaryota; Metazoa; Chordata; Amphibia; Anura; Hylidae
Gene: FBXL7
Gene name: F-box and leucine rich repeat protein 7
Exons: 6
Source: RefSeq, a predicted model, not a curated record
CUUGCAUAGGACGCAAGUUUGCACCUCACCCCGGCAUCACUGAGCCUCAGGGACGAGCAACAAGUCCGGGCUGUGCUGGAUGGGGAAUCCUGGAGGAGCUGCGCCGUCCUGACUGUGGAUUACUACAUGAGCUUUGUCUCCUCAGCCUGCACGUAUCACUGGCCCUGCCUGUGGAGGGCGCCACUGUGCACACAUGGAAAUGCUAAGUGUCUGGGGGAUGAGAGCAUGAAGUCUACAGGAUGGGAGCGAACAAUGGCAAGUACGGCAGUGAGGGCAAAGGCAGCUCAAGCAUCUCAUCCGACGUGAGUUCAAGUACAGAUCACACGCCGACUAGAGCCCUGAAGAAUGUGGCUACUAGUGAAGAUUCUGACCUGAGCAUGCGGACGCUCAGCACUCCAAGUCCUGCACUAAUAUGCCCUCAGAAUCUGCAUAGCUUCCAAAAUGGGAGAGGAUCAUCUACUUCAUCAUCAUCCAUUACAGGAGAGACUGUUGCUAUAGUCCAUUCACCACCUCCUACACGUCUCACUCAUCCACUCAUACGCCUUGCAUCAAAGCAUCAAAAAGAACAGGCAAACACUGACCGAUUGCCGGAUCAAUGUAUAAUCCAGAUUUUCUCAUAUCUACCCACAAACCAACUUUGUCGAUGUGCUCGAGUCUGCCGGCGCUGGUAUAACCUAGCCUGGGACCCUCGAUUAUGGAGGACUAUUCGACUGACUGGUGAAACAUUAAGUGUGGACAGAGCUUUAAAAGUGUUGACACGUAGACUUUGUCAGGAUACCCCCAACGUCUGUCUCAUGUUGGAGACAGUAAUUGUUAGUGGCUGCAGGCGGCUCACCGAUAGAGGGCUUUACACUAUUGCUCAGUGCUGUCCAGAACUUAGGAGACUUGAAGUUUCCAAUUGUUAUAACAUCUCUAAUGAGGCCGUUUUUGACGUGGUAUCAUUAUGCCCAAACCUGGAGCAUCUGGAUGUGUCAGGGUGCUCUAAAGUGACUUGUAUCAGCUUGACUCGAGAAGCUUCUAUAAAACUCUCUCCAAUGCAUGGCAAACAGAUAUCCAUUCGUUUUUUGGACAUGACAGACUGUUUUGUGCUUGAAGACGAGGGACUCCAUACAAUUGCAGCUCACUGCACUCAGCUUACCCACCUGUACCUGCGCCGCUGCAUCCGCAUCACUGAUGAAGGCCUGCGAUAUAUUAUGAUAUACUGUACAUCCAUCAAAGAAUUAAGUGUUAGCGACUGCCGCUUUGUGAGUGACUUUGGCAUGCGAGAGAUUGCCAAACUGGAGUCUCGUCUGCGGUACCUAAGCAUAGCCCACUGUGGGAGGAUAACCGAUGUAGGCAUCCGUUACAUUGCCAAGUACUGCAGUAAGCUCCGCUACCUCAACGCUCGAGGUUGUGAAGGGAUCACAGAUCAUGGAGUGGAGUAUUUAGCAAAGAAUUGCACAAAACUGAAAUCUUUGGAUAUUGGGAAAUGCCCUUUAGUUUCAGACAUUGGUCUGGAGUUUUUAGCCCUGAACUGCUUUAACCUAAAGCGCCUGAGCCUGAAGUCUUGUGAGAGCAUCACAGGUCAAGGGCUACAGAUAGUUGCUGCCAAUUGCUUUGACCUGCAGAUGUUAAAUGUUCAGGACUGUGAAGUGUCAGUAGAUGCUCUACGCUUUGUCAAACGCCACUGUAAAAGAUGCAUUAUUGAACACACGAACCCUGCAUUCUUCUGAGAAACCAGCUAAUGCAUACAACAUCUUAUUUCCAGUAUUAAAACCACGUAUCAAAAGAAGAAAAACUUGCACAUUCCUCAAAUUAUCUAUUCAAGAUUCUGCUCGUUUUGUUGUACUAAGAGAUUAUUUUUGUAAUGUCUGUAAUUCAUAUGAUCAUGCAUUAGGAGAUGAAUGCAUAAUAUGUGUACAUGUCUGCUUUAUACCAUUGUAGUUAAGGGGAUCAAGUAUAUUCUAUUCAGUGUCAUUGUAUGACAAGGGAAACCUUCCUGAGCAUUAUGGCAAGAAGCAAUGUGAUAUGUCAAGAAAUAAGACAAGUUAUAGCCUGGAUGAUCAUGUAUAAGUGGAAGACAUCAUUUACCCACCACAUCUACGAUCUAAUGUUGUAUAGGUAGGAGCUUCCUCCUUAUUUCUUCAUAAAUUCUAUGGAUAACGCUGAAACAAAUCACACAGUAUAGAGUGAAAUUGCUAAAAAUGUUUAUCUUGUUAGGGAUUUGUUAUAGAGAAGGGAAGUUUUCAUUGCACAUCAUAUGCCUAAGAAAGAAGCCACAUUCAAUUCCUCAAGUGUAACGCAUCUUAUGUUGGUGAUGGUAAAGAAUCUUGGUAAAGAAUCUUAUCUUGGUGUUGGUAAAGAAUUGCAAGGUCAACAGAAACUUUUGGGUAAACAUUGGGUCUAUAUGUUGAGAGAAUUUUCCGAUGUACACGACUAAUAUACCAAUAGAGAUUUAUAAGCCAGAAUAUGCCAAACAAGUAUCCCGUCGUCAUGUCUUUGGCCAGUAAACAAGGCUACACCAUUUCUCCAACUAGUAAACAGUGCAGUCAGCUAAUAUAUAUUAUAUAUAUACAGUGACCCCCCGACCUACGAUGGCCCCGACAUACGAUCAUUUCAACAUGCGAUGGCCUCUCAGAGGCAGCAUCAACAUACGAUGCUUUUGUAUGUCGGGGCCAUCGCAUAAAUGGCUAUCUGGCAGCGCAGACUGCUUCAGCUGCCACCGGAAAGCCGUUUACGGUGCCCCGUGUGCUCCGCUGAUGAUCACUUACCUGUCCUCGGGGCUCUGGCGCUUCCUCUUCAGGAUCCCCUGCAUCGUCUGUGCUCUCCAUCAUCGUCAUCACGCCGCUGCGCACGCCGUCCCGUCAUCCAAUAGGAGCGGCGUGCGUAACGACGUGAUGGCGGCAACGGAGAGCGAGGAUGCCGGGGAAGCAGAGACCUUGCCGGAGCAUUGGGGACACCUCGGGGACGCGGCGACAGCGAUGGAGGGCGACAUCCAGGGCAGUGGUGACGGUCCGAAGCGGCGGGGACAGGUUGUAGACCACUGUCCUAUACUUUACAUUGCACGGAUCCCUCAAAAUACGAUGGUUUCAACAAACAAUGGUUCAUUUGGAACGGAUUACCAUCGUAUGUUGAGGGACCACUGUGUGUGUAUAUAUAUAUAUAUAUAUAUAUAUAUAUAUAUAUAUAUAUAUAUAUUCAUUUUUUUUCAAGGGACUGAAUGACAGACAUUACAACUAUACAUGCCUACAGUUACAUAUAGGUAUAAAUCAUAUAUAUGAAUCAUAUGUUCAGCUAACCUAUUCCCCACAUGUGGUGUACACUUAGCCCAAUCUAGAAUCUUACUAAAAGGAAACGUGUAAUGAACAGUCCCAUACAUUAGUAAUGGUUUACUGCUUACAAAUAGCAGGUGAAAGGAUGCUAUUCUGCGCUGAUCUUUUCCUGCUUGUGUAGCUGCAGUCUGUUACAUUGUAUAGUCUUGUUGACACUAUUCUUGGCAUCAAAGAUACAGGAAAAUCCAAAGGGAGCCAAUAACUCCAGUAUUAGAAGAUCAAGCAAGGAUACGAAUAGGAGAGAGAUUCUUCAGCUCCUGUUUUCAGCUGAUCAUUGUUAGCAAGACCAGGUCAGGACUAUUUUUUCAGCUUAUAUAUGUUCUAUAAAUAUAAGUUCCAUUCUGUGACCGCAAGCAGAGAUCUUAAAAAAGACAAUGAAAUAUAAAGUUUAGGAGAACUUUUUUAUACAGUGCUAAAAUGUAAUUUACAUUACACCAGAAAACCCCUUUAAAUUCUAGAUCUGUCUUAUAGAUUAAAUUCUAGAUCUGUUUUAUAGACUAAAUUCUAGAUGUGUUUUAUAGAUUAAAUUCUAGAUGUGUCCUGUAAUCCAAGGCUUUAAUCAGCUACAUGCCAGUUUCACCUUUUAGGCUCUGUUCACAUUCUGUUUGUGAAUUAGAUUUAGCUCUCAGUGUACAAACUUACUGUGUCCAUUGGGUAAGAUUAGCCAGACAGAAGUGUGUUCUUUUGUAUACAUCAGUUUACUUUAAAAAAAAUGUUUGGAAUGGCGUAGACAACACUACCCCAUACAACAGUAUACAGGUGAAACUCGAAAAAUUAGAAUAUCGUGCAAAGUUCAUUUCUUUCAGUAAUGCAACUUAAAAGGUAAAACUAAUAUAUAUGAGAGAGACUCAUUAUAUGCAAAGCAAGAUAGUUCAAGCCGUGAUUUGUCAUACCGUAUUUUUCGCCGUAUAAGACGCACUUUUUCUUCCCCAAAACUGGGGGGGGGGGGAAGUUGGUGCGUCUUAUACGGCAAAUACACAUUAAAACCCUGUCCUAUCGCAGCGGUCCCUGCGGCCAUUAAUGUCCGGGACCCUGUAUUAACCCUUCUUUAACCUGUAUUAACCCUUCAGACGCGGCGAUCAAAGCUGAUGGCCACGUCUGAAGCGAAAGUGACACUAACCCGGCUGCUCAGUCGGGCUGUUCGGGACUGCCGCUGUGAAAUCGCGGCGUCCCGAACAGCUUACAGGACAUCGGGAGGGACCUUACCUGUCUCGUUGGUGUCUGCUCCGUGCCGGGAUCCCCUGCAUGUCCGCGCUCUCCUUUAUCGUCAUCACGUCGUUGCGCACACAGUCACAUCAUCCAAUAGGAGCGGCAUGCGUAGCGACGUGAUGGCGGGCAGCAGAGACGUUCCAGAGCGACGGGGACGCGGCAAUAGCGAUGGAGGGCGACAUCCAGGGCAGCGGUAACGGGUCCGGAGCGGCGGGGACACGUCGGUAUUACCUCCUCCAGUGGUCCGCAGGUUGAAGAUCACUGUCCUAUACUUUACAUUGUAUUUGGUUUAGAAUCUUUUUUUUCUAGAUUUUCAUCCAUUAAAAUUGGGUGCGUCUUAUAUGCCGGAACGUCUUUUAUGGCAAAAAAUACGGUAAUUGUGAUGAUUAUGGCUUACAGCUCAUGAAAACCCCAAAUCGCAAUAUAUUAUAUAAUUUGGGGAGCCAUGUCAUCUGCUGGUGUUGGUCCACUGUGCUUCAUUAAGUCCAGGGUCAACGCAUCCGUCUACAAGGAGAUUUUGGAGAACUUUAUGCUUCUUUUCAUUUUAAGAUGCAUUAAUGAAAUACAAUGGACUUUUGCACAAUAUUCUAAUGUUUCGAGUUUCACCUGUCCAGUAAAAACGUAUUCCUUCAAUGUUUACUUUUUCACUUAGUUAACUACAAUUUUAAUACUGUGAAAUAAAGUGAGGUAUGACAAUUUAAACUGGCCAAGCAUAUACCAAGAGGACAAUUUGGCUAAUGAUAGUAUGUCUGCAAAUCCAGAUAGAAGUCAGGAAGUCCACCUUACAUAUCAAGUACACAUCACGGGUAUCAUGCCAACACAACACAGCCGUAUAAGCCAAGUUUGUUGACAGACAGAACAAGUUCACCGUGUUCCCAGCUUUGUAGAUUUUGUAUCUUCUGACCUACUAUUGAUCUUCUUGCUGUCCAUUACGUUUCCCAAAAUUCAAAUAUACAAUAGAUAGUAUUUCAUUUUAUAUACAGUGGAGGAGAUUUAUUUGUAGUUUUGCAGGAUGCAUUUACUCACCAGUCGGUGAAAAAUAUAUAAAAUGCCCCAAAUGUACCAAAAUGGUGCAUAUGGUAUCUGAAGACCCCAACCGAGGACACCUGUAAAAUGGAAAGAACUAGAUAUGUAAAAAAAGUGUCUUAAAGGGGUACUCCCACCCUAGACAUCUUAUCCCCUAUCCACAGGAUAAGGGAUAAGAUGUCUGAUCGUGGGGGUCCCGCCGCUGGGGACCCCCGCAAUAUUGCAUGCGGCACCCACCUGUUUCUUGUCCGGAAGCGCUGGAGGGUCUGGGUCACAACCACAGGAACGGAAGUCCGUGAUGUCAGGACUCCGCCCCUGUGUGACGUCACGCCCCUCAAUGCAAGUCUAUGGGAGGGGGCAUGUCAUGUCUAGAAGUAUACAACCAGCAUUAUGCCUAUGAGGUCCAUCACCUCUGUGUAUGAUCCAGCUCUGUGCCAAACGUAAAGUGCCUUAAGUAGAUUCAAUGAAUCCUGUAAUCAUCCCCAUGUAUCCUCAUGCAUGUAAGGAUGGAAAGAAAUAUGUUUUACAGUACUACUGUAUUGUCAUCAAACACAGAGUUAAUUCUAUUAUUACUGUUCAUAUGAGAUUACCUUUUAUGAACUCCAUGUCAAAUAACUUACUAUUGUCUAUAUUGUGUGUAAGUCCUAUUAGAGAAAAUAAAUUACAUUGUUUGUAACUAGAAUAAUUGCAUUGAAUGAAGUUGAAGUGGGAUUCCCAUUUGAGACAUUUAUGGUUUAUCCUUAGAAUAUGCCAUUAUUGUGGGGCAUAAGGGUGGGACCUGCACUUAUAAAACAUUUAUGUCCUGUGGAUAUGCCCUAAAUGUCUGAGAUGGGAAUCGCCCUUUAACAAUUGGUAUAAAACAACACCUUGUUACAGUAAUGUUAUUUGUUGUCUGUAUUUUUUUUAUGGAGAAGAUGACCAUAUCCUGACACCUUCAUACAUUGGAAAAAAUAUAUUUAUUACAUAGUUUAUUCAGGAAAACCUGAAAGAUAAUUUUAGUUGAGCAAUGCGUAUUACUUUCUCUAAAACUCCAAUCAAACAUUUGAUGCUGUUAUACUUGUAGUGAUAUAGUCUAAAGGGACCAUAUCAGUUAGUAAGACAUUCUGAAAACUAGCAUUGUAAAUGUUUUAUAGAAGUGGGUUUGCCAUUGACAAAGAGCAGAUAUUAUGAUGGCUGCAAAGUUUACAAGGUUGACCAUUCAUGUUAUGUUAUAUUACAUUUCCUAUUUCCAGCUAUUGCUGUAAGUGUUAUUAAUGACAAUCCACUCCAUCCAAUUUAUAAAAUAGUGAGGUCAGAGGAGUGAGGAAGAGACUGCUCACUGUAUUCCGUCUGCAAUUCGGUGCUUGCGGGGGAGCUGUAGUAC